CGGACGGUGAACUCCCAGGAGUCCUCCGGACCGGUCAGGACCGCGUCGCCGAAGUACUCCCCGUCGGCCAGCACCGCCAUCGUGCUGCCCUCGUCAUAGGCGCCGGGGGCGAUCUGACGGACCUUGCCAUGGGCGAUCAGAUACACCUGGUCGGCCGGGCGCCCGGCCUCCACCAGCACAUCCCCGGGCGCGUACUCGCGCUGGACACAGCCGUCGGCCAGUGAUUCCAGCACGGCGGUGUCCCCGAAGCCGCGCAGCGCCGGCAGCUCGCCCAGCUCCGGCGGGAUGACCCGCACCUGUGAUCCGGUGGUGAUGAACUCCACCCGCCCGUCCCCGACCGUGUACGUCAGCCGGCGGUUCACCCGGUACGUACCGGCCGACACCUGGACCCAGGGGAGGACGCGCAGCAGCCACCGGGAGGAGAUGGCCUGCAUCUGCGGAACGGACUUGGUGGUGGUCGCCAGAUUCCGUGCGGCGGCCGUGCCCAGACUCAGCGGCUGCUCACCG
Molecule: non-coding RNA, 507 nt
Organism: Streptomyces autolyticus
Lineage: Bacteria; Bacillati; Actinomycetota; Actinomycetes; Kitasatosporales; Streptomycetaceae
Source: Rfam